GAUCCAGUGUGGUGUAGUGGUUUGAUGUUGGACUAUGACUCUAGAGAUCAGAGUUUGAUUCUCUACUCAAUCA
Non-coding RNA from Phrynosoma platyrhinos (Desert horned lizard), 73 nucleotides. NCBI's taxonomy places the organism in Eukaryota, Metazoa, Chordata, Lepidosauria, Squamata, Phrynosomatidae. The record is from the annotation of a GenBank genome assembly.